ACAGCAGCCGCCGCGGGAAUACCGAGGGUGCAAGCGUUAAUCGGAUUUACUGGGCGUAAAGCGUGCGUAGGCGGCUUCUUAAGUCGGAUGUGAAAUCCCUGAGCUUAACUUAGGAAUUGCAUUCGAUACUGGGAAGCUAGAGUAUGGGAGAGGAUGGUAGAAUUCCAGGUGUAGCGGUGAAAUGCGUAGAGAUCUGGAGGAAUACCGAUGGCGAAGGCAGCCAUCUGGCCUAAUACUGACGCUGAGGUACGAAAGCAUGGGGAGCAAACAGGAUUAGAUACCCCAGUAGUCCCUGUCUCUUAUAC
Molecule: ribosomal RNA, 305 nt
Filed under: uncultured bacterium
Lineage: Bacteria
Description: partial 16S ribosomal RNA
Rfam family: Bacterial small subunit ribosomal RNA
Source: RNAcentral